CAUCCCCUGCCUGGUGCGUGAUGGUGCGUGGCUCCAUUGUCGCGAACCUUUGACGGAAUCGUUGGGAGACGUCCCUGCCGGCACCGCGCGAACUGCCGCCAAGCUAGGCAGAGGCAGGCUGUCGGUAUCACGUCACCCCCCUGCAGACGCAGGUUCCGACCGCGCGCAUCACACGGCCGAGGCGGGGGAAUC
Molecule: non-coding RNA, 192 nt
Filed under: Myxococcales bacterium LLY-WYZ-16_1
Lineage: Bacteria; Pseudomonadati; Myxococcota; Myxococcia; Myxococcales
Description: 6S RNA
Rfam family: 6S / SsrS RNA
About the family: E. coli 6S RNA was the first non coding RNA to be sequenced, but its function was unknown until recently.
Source: RNAcentral